UGGGGAAUCUUGCACAAUGGGGGCAACCCUGAUGCAGCGACGCCGCGUGAGCGAUGAGGCCCUUCGGGGCGUAAAGCUCUUUCGACCGGAACGAUAAUGACGGUACCGGGAGAAGAAGCUGCGGCUAACUACGUGCCAGCAGCCGCGGUAAUACGUAGGCAGCAAGCGUUGUUCGGAGUUACUGGGCGUAAAGAGUGCGUAGGCGGUUUUCUAAGUUCGGUGUGAAAUCUCCCGGCUUAACUGGGAGGGUGAGCCGAAGACUGGGAAGCUGGAGUGUGGGAAAGGCAGGCGGAAUUCCUGGUGUAGCGGUGAAAUGCGUAGAUAUCAGGAGGAACGCCGGCGGUGUAGACGGCUUGCUAGACCAUAACUGACGCUGAGGCACGAAAGCGUGGGUAGCAAACA
Molecule: ribosomal RNA, 402 nt
Filed under: uncultured bacterium
Lineage: Bacteria
Description: bacterial SSU rRNA
Rfam family: Bacterial small subunit ribosomal RNA
Source: RNAcentral